CAGGGUAUAGACCCGAAACCCGGUGAUCUAGCCAUGGGCAGGUUGAAGGUUGGGUAACACUAACUGGAGGACCGAACCGACUAAUGUUGAAAAAUUAGCGGAUGACUUGUGGCUGGGGGUGAAAGGCCAAUCAAACCGGGAGAUAGCUGGUUCUCCCCGAAAGCUAUUUAGGUAGCGCCUCGUGAAUUCAUCUCCGGGGGUAGAGCACUGUUUCGGCAAGGGGGUCAUCCCGACUUACCAACCCGAUGCAAACUGCGAAUACCGGAGAAUGUUAUCACGGGAGACACACGGCGGGUGCUAACGUCCGUCGUGAAGAGGGAAACAACCCAGACCGCCAGCUAAGGUCCCAAAGUCAUGGUUAAGUGGGAAACGAUGUGGGAAGGCCCAGACAGCCAGGAUGUUGGCUUAGAAGCAGCCAUCAUUUAAAGAAAGCGUAAUAGCUCACUGGUCGAGUCGGCCUGCGCGGAAGAUGUAACGGGGCUAAACCAUGCACCGAAGCUGCGGCAGCGACGCUUAUGCGUUGUUGGGUA
RNAcentral lists this ribosomal RNA (530 nucleotides) under Escherichia coli. RNAcentral's name for it is "partial 23S ribosomal RNA". It matches the Rfam family "Bacterial large subunit ribosomal RNA", at positions 703 to 1230 of the family's 2925-position model. Lineage: Bacteria; Pseudomonadati; Pseudomonadota; Gammaproteobacteria; Enterobacterales; Enterobacteriaceae. The record is from RNAcentral.